GGCGGGGGGGCGGGCGCAGAUCCAGUGCUUCUCGGAGGCGCAGCUGGCCGUCUGGACGUCCCUGUCCCCCAGGUAGGCGCAGUCGGCCCCGCCGCGCACCGCGAACCUACGGCACCUCUGCCUCCUUCUUCCUCCAUCCCUCCUCUUCCUCCAUCCCUCCUUCCUCCUCCUCUUCUUCAGCCCUCCUUCUUCCAGCCCUCCUCCAGCCCUCCUCCUCCUCCCCAAGCCCUCCAGCCGUCCCUCCUCCAGCCCAUCCUUCUCCAUCCUCCAGCUUCCAGCCCUCCUCCUCCAGCCCUCCUCUUCCUCCAUCCCUCCUUCCUCCUCCUCCUCUUCAGCCCUCCUUCCUCCUCCCCCAUCCCCCCCUUCCUCCCUCCUCCUCUUCCUCCUCCUCCCCAAUCCCUCCAGCCAUCCCUCCAUCAGCCCAUCCUUCUCCAUCCUCCAGCUUCCAUCCCUCCUCCUCCUCCUCCAUCCUUCCUCUUCCUCCUCCAGCCCUCCUCUUCCUCCAGCCCUCCUUCCUCCUCCCCACUCCCCCCUUCCUCCUUCCUCCAUCCCUCCUCCUCCUCCUCCUCCCCAAUCCCUCCAGCCGUCCCUCCACCAGCCCAUCCCCCUAGUCCUCCAGCUUCCAUCCCUCCUCCUUUUCCUCCAUCCCUCCUUCCUCCCUCCUCCAUCUCCCCUUCGUCCCUCCUCCUCCUCCCCAACCCCACCAUCCUUCCCUCCUUCAUCCCUCCUCUUCCUCUCCAAUUCCUCCAUCCCUCCCUCAUCCCUCACUCCAUCCCUCCUUCAUCCCUCCUCUUCCUCCCCAACCCCUCCAUCCCUCCCUCCCUCCCUCAUCCCUCUGUCCCUCCUUCCAUCCCUCCCUUCCUCCCUCCUCAUCCUCCAUCCCUCCCUCUUCCCCCAACCUCUCCCCUCUGUCCCCCCCCCCCAAAAUGUCCCCACGGUGUCCCUGUCCCUCACCAGGGCUGGGAGCGGGAGCCGUUGGCCCAGCGCCAGCGGUGCUGGGGGUCCCUCCUGAGCCCCACCCAGUGGUGGGGGGCACCCUUGUGUCGCGCCAGCAGCUCCUGGGGACAACGGGGACACCCCGGGGACAUUGGGGACACCCGGGGAUGGGGGGGGGGGGGGCACCUGGGGACAUGGGGACACCCAGGGACAGGAGACACGGAGACAUGGGGGCAUGCACGGAC
Molecule: long non-coding RNA, 1181 nt
Filed under: Calidris pygmaea (Spoon-billed sandpiper)
Lineage: Eukaryota; Metazoa; Chordata; Aves; Charadriiformes; Scolopacidae
Description: lncRNA (ENSCPGG00000008848.1)
Source: RNAcentral